This 484-nucleotide ribosomal RNA is filed under the name uncultured bacterium. Its description in RNAcentral is "partial 16S ribosomal RNA". It matches the Rfam family "Bacterial small subunit ribosomal RNA", at positions 30 to 507 of the family's 1533-position model. The record is from RNAcentral.
AUUGAACGCUGGCGGCAGGCCUAACACAUGCAAGUCGAGCGGAGGAAGGGAGCUUGCUCCUGGAUUCAGCGGCGGACGGGUGAGUAAUGCCUAGGAAUCUGCCUGGUAGUGGGGGAUAACGUCCGGAAACGGGCGCUAAUACCGCAUACGUCCUGAGGGAGAAAGUGGGGGAUCUUCGGACCUCACGCUAUCAGAUGAGCCUAGGUCGGAUUAGCUAGUUGGUGGGGUAAAGGCCCACCAAGGCGACGAUCCGUAACUGGUCUGAGAGGAUGAUCAGUCACACUGGAACUGAGACACGGUCAAGACUCCUACGGGAGGCAGCAGUGGGGAAUAUUGGACAAUGGGCGAAAGCCUGAUCCAGCCAUGCCGCGUGUGUGAAGAAGGUCUUCGGAUUGUAAAGCACUUUAAGUUGGGAGGAAGGGCAGUAAGUUAAUACCUUGCUGUUUUGACGUUACCAACAGAAUAAGCACCGGCUAACUUCGUG